GCAUGGGUUUGGAUUUAUGGCAGGCCUAUUCCUAUGGGCCUCUCAUAGUGUCCCAUGCUAGAGCAAACUGUAGCCCCCCCAACCAUUGCCUGGCCUCCCUGACCGUAAGCUGCGGGCACUGAAGUGGGUUGUACAAUG
Loxodonta africana (African savanna elephant) is the source of this 138-nucleotide small nucleolar RNA. Ensembl annotates it as small nucleolar RNA SNORA42/SNORA80 family. Lineage: Eukaryota; Metazoa; Chordata; Mammalia; Proboscidea; Elephantidae. The record is from Ensembl.